CGGAGAGUUUGAUCCUGGCUCAGGAUGAACGCUGGCGGCGUGCCUAAUACAUGCAAGUCGAACGCUUUGUGGUUCAACUGAUUUGAAGAGCUUGCUCAGAUAUGACGAUGGACAUUGCAAAGAGUGGCGAACGGGUGAGUAACACGUGGGAAACCUACCUCUUAGCAGGGGAUAACAUUUGGAAACAGAUGCUAAUACCGUAUAACAAUAGCAACCGCAUGGUUGCUACUUAAAAGAUGGUUCUGCUAUCACUAAGAGAUGGUCCCGCGGUGCAUUAGUUAGUUGGUGAGGUAAUGGCUCACCAAGACGAUGAUGCAUAGCCGAGUUGAGAGACUGAUCGGCCACAAUGGGACUGAGACACGGCCCAUACUCCUACGGGAGGCAGCAGUAGGGAAUCUUCCACAAUGGGCGAAAGCCUGAUGGAGCAACGCCGCGUGUGUGAUGAAGGGUUUCGGCUCGUAAAACACUGUUGUAAGAGAAGAAUGACAUUGAGAGUAACUGUUCAAUGUGUGACGGUAUCUUACCAGAAAGGAACGGCUAAAUACGUGCCAGCAGCCGCGGUAAUACGUAUGUUCCAAGCGUUAUCCGGAUUUAUUGGGCGUAAAGCGAGCGCAGACGGUUAUUUAAGUCUGAAGUGAAAGCCCUCAGCUCAACUGAGGAAUUGCUUUGGAAACUGGAUGACUUGAGUGCAGUAGAGGAAAGUGGAACUCCAUGUGUAGCGGUGAAAUGCGUAGAUAUAUGGAACAACACCAGUGGCGAAGGCGGCUUUCUGGACUGUAACUGACGUUGAGGCUCAAAAGUGUGGGUAGCAAACAGGAUUAAAUACCCUGGUAGUCCUCACCGUAAACCAUGAUUGCU
Molecule: ribosomal RNA, 858 nt
Filed under: uncultured bacterium
Lineage: Bacteria
Description: bacterial SSU rRNA
Rfam family: Bacterial small subunit ribosomal RNA
Source: RNAcentral